UGGACAAACGCCCUCCUCCGACCCCCGGCC
Molecule: small RNA, 30 nt
Filed under: Bombyx mori (domestic silkworm)
Lineage: Eukaryota; Metazoa; Arthropoda; Insecta; Lepidoptera; Bombycidae
Description: ovarian small RNA-34521
Source: RNAcentral